CAGUCGCCGCGGGAAUACGGAGGAUCCAAGCGUUAUCCGGAUUUAUUGGGUUUAAAGGGUGCGUAGGUGGCCUGUUAAGUCAGGGGUGAAAGACGGUAGCUCAACUAUCGCAGUGCCCUUGAUACUGAUGGGCUUGAAUGAACUAGAGGUAGGCGGAAUGUGACAAGUAGCGGUGAAAUGCAUAGAUAUGUCACAGAACACCAAUUGCGAAGGCAGCUUACUAUGGUUUUAUUGACACUGAGGCACGAAAGCGUGGGGAUCAAACAGGAUUAGAUACCCCAGUAGUCCCUGUCUCUUAUAC
Molecule: ribosomal RNA, 301 nt
Filed under: uncultured bacterium
Lineage: Bacteria
Description: partial 16S ribosomal RNA
Rfam family: Bacterial small subunit ribosomal RNA
Source: RNAcentral